Molecule: long non-coding RNA, 944 nt
Filed under: Anas platyrhynchos platyrhynchos (common mallard)
Lineage: Eukaryota; Metazoa; Chordata; Aves; Anseriformes; Anatidae
Description: lncRNA (ENSAPLG00000016670.1)
Source: RNAcentral
GAGCAGACAAGAAUGUGUACGCCAUGUGCUGGCUUUGAAAAAGCCUUGGAAAUUCAAUAGAGCUGUUAUUUAAGCGGCCAGAGAAGUAGUAACCAUGAGCUGACAACGAACAAUAUACCAGGCAGCUGUUAACAUCACGUUGCAUGUAAGGCAGACAAGCCCCUUUCCUGAGGAUGUUACAAGCUGAAAUGUUAUUUUAAUAGCUAAAACUGCUGCAGUGAUAGUAGCAAAACACGACUUCAUUAUCAAAACCCUUACCAAGCUGGAAAGAAAAAUCAGCGUUGCUACAUAAGAAAAUUAUAAAUCUCAUUUUAAAAACAGUUUUGGAGUAGAUGAUUUUUAAUUGCUUAAAGAAUUCUGGUGCUGAUGGCUUGGCUUCAGUGGGAGGUGGCUUGAAAGAAGGGGCAAUGGAAAUCCUGCAGGGUUGCAGGUGGAUGGCAGCCACCACCAUGGACAUGCCUGUUUCCUGGAGCGUUGCUCAAGUUGACUAGCAAGAACGAAGCAAGCAAAGGGCAUGCCAGCUGCCUUGAGUACCACAGGGGAUUUUGUUGGAAUGAGCACACCUUUGUGCAAUACUGAUCUCAAUCAGCCCUUUCUGAUGGGCAACCUUUCUGCUGAAAAGCAGUUGCUGUGUCUCACAGUUUUAUACCUUGGAUCCCAUCGUGGCACUUUGAAGAUGUGAACUACAACAUAUUAUGGGAAACAUUGGGAGUCAUAAAAGAAAGAGUCGGUGUUGCAAGAGGAGGUAUGAUAAUGAAGCCUAAAGUCAGAGACUUAAUGCCUCAGUUCUUUGCUGAAUCAAAGCCUAAGACUGCGAGUUCUUUGAAACAGACUCUCCUCAAUUAGAGGCCUGCUCAGUGCUGAACAUAAUAGCACUACGACAUAGCUGGGGCCUCUGAGCCCUUCUGUAAUAAAUGAUUAGGAACAAAAGCUCGAAGAUGGCA